Molecule: ribosomal RNA, 451 nt
Filed under: uncultured bacterium
Lineage: Bacteria
Description: bacterial SSU rRNA
Rfam family: Bacterial small subunit ribosomal RNA
Source: RNAcentral
GUCGGGAAUAUUGGGCAAUGGGCGCAAGCCUGACCCAGCGACGCCGCGUGAGGGAUGAAGGCCUUCGGGUCGUAAACCUCUGUCGGGGGGGAAGAACGGCAGUGAGGUGAAUAAUCUCACUGUCUGACGGUACCUCCAAAGGAAGCGCCGGCUAACUCCGUGCCAGCAGCCGCGGUAAUACGGAGGGCGCAAGCGUUGUUCGGAAUCACUGGGCGUAAAGCGCGUGUAGGCGGCCGGGCAAGUCGGAUGUGAAAUCCCGAGGCUCAACCUCGGAACUGCACUCGAAACUGCUCGGCUCGAGUCCCGGAGAGGAUGGCGGAAUUCCCGGUGUAGGGGUGAAAUCCGUAGAUAUCGGGAGGAACACCAGUGGCGAAGGCGGCCAUCUGGACGGUGACUGACGCUGAGACGCGAAAGCGUGGGGAGCAAACAGGAUUAGAUACCCCAGUAGUCC